This 253-nucleotide ribosomal RNA is filed under the name uncultured bacterium. RNAcentral's name for it is "partial 16S ribosomal RNA". It matches the Rfam family "Bacterial small subunit ribosomal RNA", at positions 524 to 776 of the family's 1533-position model. The record is from RNAcentral.
UACGAAGGGUGCAAGCGUUACUCGGAAUUACUGGGCGUAAAGGGCGCGUAGGCGGCUUAACAAGUCACUUGUGAAAUCUCCGGGCUUAACUCGGAACGGCCAAGUGAAACUGUUAUGCUAGAGUGCAGAAGGGGCAAUCGGAAUUCUUGGUGUAGCGGUGAAAUGCGUAGAUAUCAAGAGGAACACCUGAGGUGAAGACGGGUUGCUGGGCUGACACUGACGCUGAUGCGCGAAAGCCAGGGGAGCAAACGGG